Molecule: ribosomal RNA, 2904 nt
Filed under: Escherichia coli
Lineage: Bacteria; Pseudomonadati; Pseudomonadota; Gammaproteobacteria; Enterobacterales; Enterobacteriaceae
Description: bacterial LSU rRNA
Rfam family: Bacterial large subunit ribosomal RNA
Source: RNAcentral
UUAAGCGACUAAGCGUACACGGUGGAUGCCCUGGCAGUCAGAGGCGAUGAAGGACGUGCUAAUCUGCGAUAAGCGUCGGUAAGGUGAUAUGAACCGUUAUAACCGGCGAUUUCCGAAUGGGGAAACCCAGUGUGUUUCGACACACUAUCAUUAACUGAAUCCAUAGGUUAAUGAGGCGAACCGGGGGAACUGAAACAUCUAAGUACCCCGAGGAAAAGAAAUCAACCGAGAUUCCCCCAGUAGCGGCGAGCGAACGGGGAGCAGCCCAGAGCCUGAAUCAGUGUGUGUGUUAGUGGAAGCGUCUGGAAAGGCGCGCGAUACAGGGUGACAGCCCCGUACACAAAAAUGCACAUACUGUGAGCUCGAUGAGUAGGGCGGGACACGUGGUAUCCUGUCUGAAUAUGGGGGGACCAUCCUCCAAGGCUAAAUACUCCUGACUGACCGAUAGUGAACCAGUACCGUGAGGGAAAGGCGAAAAGAACCCCGGCGAGGGGAGUGAAAAAGAACCUGAAACCGUGUACGUACAAGCAGUGGGAGCACAGAGCAAUCUGUGUGACUGCGUACCUUUUGUAUAAUGGGUCAGCGACUUAUAUUCUGUAGCAAGGUUAACCGAAUAGGGGAGCCGAAGGGAAACCGAGUCUUAACUGGGCGUUAAGUUGCAGGGUAUAGACCCGAAACCCGGUGAUCUAGCCAUGGGCAGGUUGAAGGUUGGGUAACACUAACUGGAGGACCGAACCGACUAAUGUUGAAAAAUUAGCGGAUGACUUGUGGCUGGGGGUGAAAGGCCAAUCAAACCGGGAGAUAGCUGGUUCUCCCCGAAAGCUAUUUAGGUAGCGCCUCGUGAAUUCAUCUCCGGGGGUAGAGCACUGUUUCGGCAAGGGGGUCAUCCCGACUUACCAACCCGAUGCAAACUGCGAAUACCGGAGAAUGUUAUCACGGGAGACACACGGCGGGUGCUAACGUCCGUCGUGAAGAGGGAAACAACCCAGACCGCCAGCUAAGGUCCCAAAGUCAUGGUUAAGUGGGAAACGAUGUGGGAAGGCCCAGACAGCCAGGAUGUUGGCUUAGAAGCAGCCAUCAUUUAAAGAAAGCGUAAUAGCUCACUGGUCGAGUCGGCCUGCGCGGAAGAUGUAACGGGGCUAAACCAUGCACCGAAGCUGCGGCAGCGACGCUUAUGCGUUGUUGGGUAGGGGAGCGUUCUGUAAGCCUGCGAAGGUGUGCUGUGAGGCAUGCUGGAGGUAUCAGAAGUGCGAAUGCUGACAUAAGUAACGAUAAAGCGGGUGAAAAGCCCGCUCGCCGGAAGACCAAGGGUUCCUGUCCAACGUUAAUCGGGGCAGGGUGAGUCGACCCCUAAGGCGAGGCCGAAAGGCGUAGUCGAUGGGAAACAGGUUAAUAUUCCUGUACUUGGUGUUACUGCGAAGGGGGGACGGAGAAGGCUAUGUUGGCCGGGCGACGGUUGUCCCGGUUUAAGCGUGUAGGCUGGUUUUCCAGGCAAAUCCGGAAAAUCAAGGCUGAGGCGUGAUGACGAGGCACUACGGUGCUGAAGCAACAAAUGCCCUGCUUCCAGGAAAAGCCUCUAAGCAUCAGGUAACAUCAAAUCGUACCCCAAACCGACACAGGUGGUCAGGUAGAGAAUACCAAGGCGCUUGAGAGAACUCGGGUGAAGGAACUAGGCAAAAUGGUGCCGUAACUUCGGGAGAAGGCACGCUGAUAUGUAGGUGAAGUCCCUCGCGGAUGGAGCUGAAAUCAGUCGAAGAUACCAGCUGGCUGCAACUGUUUAUUAAAAACACAGCACUGUGCAAACACGAAAGUGGACGUAUACGGUGUGACGCCUGCCCGGUGCCGGAAGGUUAAUUGAUGGGGUCAGCGCAAGCGAAGCUCUUGAUCGAAGCCCCGGUAAACGGCGGCCGUAACUAUAACGGUCCUAAGGUAGCGAAAUUCCUUGUCGGGUAAGUUCCGACCUGCACGAAUGGCGUAAUGAUGGCCAGGCUGUCUCCACCCGAGACUCAGUGAAAUUGAACUCGCUGUGAAGAUGCAGUGUACCCGCGGCAAGACGGAAAGACCCCGUGAACCUUUACUAUAGCUUGACACUGAACAUUGAGCCUUGAUGUGUAGGAUAGGUGGGAGGCUUUGAAGUGUGGACGCCAGUCUGCAUGGAGCCGACCUUGAAAUACCACCCUUUAAUGUUUGAUGUUCUAACGUUGACCCGUGAUCCGGGUUGCGGACAGUGUCUGGUGGGUAGUUUGACUGGGGCGGUCUCCUCCUAAAGAGUAACGGAGGAGCACGAAGGUUGGCUAAUCCUGGUCGGACAUCAGGAGGUUAGUGCAAUGGCAUAAGCCAGCUUGACUGCGAGCGUGACGGCGCGAGCAGGUGCGAAAGCAGGUCAUAGUGAUCCGGUGGUUCUGAAUGGAAGGGCCAUCGCUCAACGGAUAAAAGGUACUCCGGGGAUAACAGGCUGAUACCGCCCAAGAGUUCAUAUCGACGGCGGUGUUUGGCACCUCGAUGUCGGCUCAUCACAUCCUGGGGCUGAAGUAGGUCCCAAGGGUAUGGCUGUUCGCCAUUUAAAGUGGUACGCGAGCUGGGUUUAGAACGUCGUGAGACAGUUCGGUCCCUAUCUGCCGUGGGCGCUGGAGAACUGAGGGGGGCUGCUCCUAGUACGAGAGGACCGGAGUGGACGCAUCACUGGUGUUCGGGUUGUCAUGCCAAUGGCACUGCCCGGUAGCUAAAUGCGGAAGAGAUAAGUGCUGAAAGCAUCUAAGCACGAAACUUGCCCCGAGAUGAGUUCUCCCUGACUCCUUGAGAGUCCUGAAGGAACGUUGAAGACGACGACGUUGAUAGGCCGGGUGUGUAAGCGCAGCGAUGCGUUGAGCUAACCGGUACUAAUGAACCGUGAGGCUUAACCUU